GUUUAAUUCGACGAUACGCGAAGAACCUUACCUGGACUUGACAUAGUAGGAACUGUCUAGAGAUAGAUUGGUGUCUGCUUGCAGAAACUUAUAUACAGGUGCUGCACGGCUGUCGUCAGCUCGUGUCGUGAGAUGUUGGGUUAAGUCCCGCAACGAGCGCAACCCUCGUCGUUAGUUGCUAACAGUUCGGCUGAGAACUCUAACGAGACUGCCUACGCAAGUAGGAGGAAGGUGAGGACGACGUCAAGUCAUCAUGGCCCUUACGUCCAGGGCUACACACGUGCUACAAUGGGGUAUACAAAGAGCCGCAAUACCGCGAGGUGGAGCAAAUCUCUUAAAAUAUCUCCCAGUUCGGAUUGUAGUCUGCAACUCGACUACAUGAAGUUGGAAUCGCUAGUAAUCGUAGAUCAGCAAUGCUACGGUGAAUACGUUCCCGGGUCUUGUACUCACCGCCCGUCACACCAUGGGAGUUGAACUCAUUCGAAGCGGGGAUGCUAAAGUAGCUACCUUCCACAGUGGAUUCAGCGACUGGGUGAAGUCGUAACAAGGUAACC
This 554-nucleotide ribosomal RNA is filed under the name uncultured bacterium. RNAcentral describes it as "bacterial SSU rRNA". It matches the Rfam family "Bacterial small subunit ribosomal RNA", at positions 944 to 1501 of the family's 1533-position model. The record is from RNAcentral.